Molecule: long non-coding RNA, 357 nt
Filed under: Anas platyrhynchos platyrhynchos (common mallard)
Lineage: Eukaryota; Metazoa; Chordata; Aves; Anseriformes; Anatidae
Description: lncRNA (ENSAPLG00000022488.1)
Source: RNAcentral
AUGACAUUGCCAUGGCACCGAGGCAAGCGGGAUGCCGCACUGGGCAGGCAGAAAUGCUCCUGUAGUUCAAAGAAAGAGCAAAAAUAUCAGGUGGCUGAGAUAGAAGAAACCUUGAAAAAGCAAACCACGGAUGAUUAUCUGGAAGGGAAUUUCUUACAAACAUCUUAUCAGAAGAAAUUAGCCCAGCUUUUCUCAGACAAUGGCCAAGCCCUGGAGGCUCUGCCUCACGAGCAGCUUGCAGCCCCAUGCAGGGACACCGCAGGACCGUGCUACCCGUGCACACACCGCUGCUCGCAUGGCCAAGGCUGGAAGAGGCCAAGCUGUGAGGAAAGCAGCAUGAAAAUUAUCCCUGAGUGA